UGACAAUUUCCGAGUUAGGCCA
Molecule: microRNA, 22 nt
Filed under: Caenorhabditis elegans
Lineage: Eukaryota; Metazoa; Nematoda; Chromadorea; Rhabditida; Rhabditidae
Description: cel-miR-800-5p
Gene: cel-miR-800-5p
Source: miRBase by way of RNAcentral